Molecule: ribosomal RNA, 252 nt
Filed under: uncultured bacterium
Lineage: Bacteria
Description: partial 16S ribosomal RNA
Rfam family: Archaeal small subunit ribosomal RNA
Source: RNAcentral
UACCAGCACCCCGAGUGGUCGGGACGAUUAUUGGGCCUAAAGCAUCCGUAGCCGGUUUUACAAGUCCCCCGUUAAAUCCAGCUGCUUAACAGAUGGGCUGCGGAGGAUACUAUAAGACUAGGAGGCAGGAGAGGCAAGCGGUACUCAGUGGGUAGGGGUAAAAUCCGUUGAUCCAUUGAAGACCACCAGUGGCGAAGGCGGCUUGCCAGAAUGCGCUCGACGGUGAGGGAUGAAAGCUGGGGGAGCAACCGG